RNAcentral lists this ribosomal RNA (253 nucleotides) under uncultured bacterium. RNAcentral's name for it is "partial 16S ribosomal RNA". It matches the Rfam family "Bacterial small subunit ribosomal RNA", at positions 524 to 776 of the family's 1533-position model. The record is from RNAcentral.
UACAGAGGGUGCGAGCGUUAAUCGGAAUUACUGGGCGUAAAGCGCACGUAGGCGGCUUGGUAUGUCGGGUGUGAAAUCCCCGGGCUCAACCUGGGAACUGCAUCCGAAACUGCCUUGCUAGAGUAUGGGAGAGGGAAGUGGAAUUUCCGGUGUAGCGGUGAAAUGCGCAGAGAUCGGGAGGAACACCCGUAGCGAAGGCGGCACUCUGGGCCGGUACUGACGCUGAGGAGCGAAAGCGUGGGGAGCAAACAGG